UGGGGAAUUUUGGACAAUGGGCGAAAGCCUGAUCCAGCAAUGCCGCGUGUGUGAAGAAGGCCUUCGGGUUGUAAAGCACUUUUGUCCGGAAAGAAAUCCUUGGCUCUAAUACAGUCGGGGGAUGACGGUACCGGAAGAAUAAGCACCGGCUAACUACGUGCCAGCAGCCGCGGUAAUACGUAGGGUGCAAGCGUUAAUCGGAAUUACUGGGCGUAAAGCGUGCGCAGGCGGUUUGCUAAGACCGAUGUGAAAUCCCCGGGCUCAACCUGGGAACUGCAUUGGUGGCUGGCAGGCUAGAGUAUGGCAGAGGGGGGUAGAAUUCCACGUGUAGCAGUGAAAUGCGUAGAGAUGUGGAGGAAUACCGAUGGCGAAGGCAGCCCCCUGGGCCAAUACUGACGCUCAUGCACGAAAGCGUGGGGAGCAAACAGGAUUAGAUACCCUGGUAGUCCACGCCCUAAACGAUGUCAACUAGUUGUGGGAUUCAUUUCCUAGUACGUAGCUAACGCGUGAAGUUGACCGCCUGGGAGUACGGUCGCAAGAUU
This 542-nucleotide ribosomal RNA is filed under the name uncultured bacterium. Its description in RNAcentral is "partial 16S ribosomal RNA". It matches the Rfam family "Bacterial small subunit ribosomal RNA", at positions 355 to 895 of the family's 1533-position model. The record is from RNAcentral.